AAAUACCUCUUGGUUUGAGGACUGUCGUGCGCAAGCCGGCUUUCCUUGCACUUUCCAGUCUAUGUUUUAUAAUAUACACCUAAAGUAUGUUUCAGAAUGUCAUUUAAUGGGCAUAACUGCCUUUAAUUACCAUACAACUUUCAACAACGGAUCUCUUGGCUCUCGCAUCGAUGAAGAACGCAGCGAAAUGCGAUAAGUAAUGUGAAUUGCAGAAUUCAGUGAAUCAUCGAAUCUUUGAACGCACCUUGCGCUCCUUGGUAUUCCGAGGAGCAUGCCUGUUUGAGUGUCAUUAAAUUCUCAACCUUUUCAAUCUUUUAUUGGUUGAAUUAGGUUUGGAUGUGGGAGUCUUUCUGCUGGCUUCUUUAAGAGGUCGGCUCUCCUUAAAUUUAUUAGCAGGACCUUUGUUGCCCUCUCAGCGUUAGUGUGAUAAUUAUCUACGCUAUUUGCUGAAAGCAACUCAUAAAAUAGGGUUUCCAGCUGCUAAUCGUCUC
This 491-nucleotide ribosomal RNA is filed under the name Tricholoma flavovirens. RNAcentral describes it as "eukaryotic LSU rRNA". The stretch from base 136 to 289 matches the Rfam family "5.8S ribosomal RNA". Lineage: Eukaryota; Fungi; Basidiomycota; Agaricomycetes; Agaricales; Tricholomataceae. The record is from RNAcentral.